Molecule: ribosomal RNA, 253 nt
Filed under: uncultured bacterium
Lineage: Bacteria
Description: partial 16S ribosomal RNA
Rfam family: Bacterial small subunit ribosomal RNA
Source: RNAcentral
UACGUAGGUGGCAAGCGUUGUCCGGAAUUAUUGGGCGUAAAGCGCGCGCAGGUGGUUCCUUAAGUCUGAUGUGAAAGCCCACGGCUCAACCGUGGAGGGUCAUUGGAAACUGGGGAACUUGAGUGCAGAAGAGGAAAGUGGAAUUCCAAGUGUAGCGGUGAAAUGCGUAGAGAUUUGGAGGAACACCAGUGGCGAAGGCGACGUCCUGGACCGGCAUUGACGCUGAGGCGCGAAAGCCAGGGGAGCAAACGGG